ACCUACGGGAGGCAGCAGUGGGGAAUAUUGGACAAUGGGCGAAAGCCUGAUCCAGCAAUGCCGCGUGAGUGAUGAAGGCCCUAGGGUUGUAAAGCUCUUUUACCCGGGAUGAUAAUGACAGUACCGGGAGAAUAAGCUCCGGCUAACUUCGUGCCAGCAGCCGCGGUAAUACGAGGGGAGCUAGCGUUGUUCGGAAUUACUGGGCGUAAAGCGCGCGUAGGCGGUUUUUUAAGUCAGAGGUGAAAGCCCGGGGCUCAACCCCGGAAUUGCCUUUGAAACUGGAAAACUAGAAUCUUGGAGAGGUCAGUGGAAUUCCGAGUGUAGAGGUGAAAUUCGUAGAUAUUCGGAAGAACACCAGUGGCGAAGGCGACUGACUGGACAAGUAUUGACGCUGAGGUGCGAAAGCGUGGGGAGCAAACAGGAUUAGAUACCCCAGUAGUC
RNAcentral lists this ribosomal RNA (441 nucleotides) under uncultured Sphingopyxis sp. RNAcentral's name for it is "bacterial SSU rRNA". It matches the Rfam family "Bacterial small subunit ribosomal RNA", at positions 337 to 795 of the family's 1533-position model. Lineage: Bacteria; Pseudomonadati; Pseudomonadota; Alphaproteobacteria; Sphingomonadales; Sphingopyxidaceae. The record is from RNAcentral.